AGCAUAUCAAUAAGCGGAGGAAAAGAAAUUAACAAAGAUUCCAUUAGUAACGGCGAGUGAAGUUGGAAGAGCUCAAAUUUGUAAUCGCUUCGGCGAGUUGUAAUUUGUAGAAGCGUUUUCGGGAGCGGUGCUAGGCAAAGUUCCUUGGAAUAGGAUAUCAUAGAGGGUGAGAAUCCCGUUCUAUACUAGCAAACCGUGACUAUAUGAUACGUUCUCUAAGAGUCGGAUUGUUUGGGAAUGCAGUCCAAAAUGGGUGGUAAAUCUCAUCUAAAGCUAAAUAUUGGCAGGAGACCGAUAGCGAACAAGUACCGCGAGGGAAAGAUGAAAAGCACUUUGAAAAGAGAGUAAAAAGUACGUGAAACCGUUAAAAGGGAAACGUUAAGGAUCAGUGAUGAUGGUCGUGAAUCAGCCUAGUAGUUAACUGGGUGCACUUUGCGAUCACAGGUCAACAUCAGUUUGUUCUGUUGGACAAGGGUUUUAGGAAGGUAGAAUACGCUUCGGUGUAUUUGUUAUAGACUAGAACACAUACAAUGGAAUAGACUGAGGAACGCGGUAUUCGUAUAUGGCCUAUUGAGAUAAUAUAGACAAUUAUAUCUAGGCAAUUUAUUGACUAGAUGUGAUCCGGCUGUAUUGACCUUGAUUAGCGCACAAUUAAUACCUAGGAUGUUGGCAAAAUGGUCUUUAUCGACCCGUC
Molecule: ribosomal RNA, 694 nt
Filed under: uncultured fungus
Lineage: Eukaryota; Fungi
Description: eukaryotic LSU rRNA
Rfam family: Eukaryotic large subunit ribosomal RNA
Source: RNAcentral